GGGGUUGUGGCUCAGUUGGUAGAGUGCUUGCCUCACAUGUAUGAGGCACUGGGUUCUAUUCUCAGCACCACA
Molecule: transfer RNA, 72 nt
Filed under: Marmota monax (woodchuck)
Lineage: Eukaryota; Metazoa; Chordata; Mammalia; Rodentia; Sciuridae
Description: tRNA.Val
Rfam family: tRNA
About the family: Transfer RNA (tRNA) molecules are approximately 80 nucleotides in length. Their secondary structure includes four short double-helical elements and three loops (D, anti-codon, and T loops).
Source: RNAcentral